This 274-nucleotide ribosomal RNA is filed under the name uncultured bacterium. Its description in RNAcentral is "partial 16S ribosomal RNA". It matches the Rfam family "Bacterial small subunit ribosomal RNA", at positions 523 to 796 of the family's 1533-position model. The record is from RNAcentral.
AUACGAAGGGGGCUAGCGUUGUUCGGAAUCACUGGGCGUAAAGCGCGCGUAGGUGGAUCAAUUAGUUGAGGGUGAAAUCCCGGGGCUCAACCUCGGAACUGCCUUCAAUACUGUUGCUCUUGAGACCGAGGGAGGUGAGUGGAAUUCCUAGUGUAGAGGUGAAAUUCGUAGAUAUUAGGAAGAACACCAGUGGCGAAGGCGGCUCACUGGCUCGGUACUGACGCUGAGGUGCGAAAGCGUGGGGAGCAAACAGGAUUAGAAACCCUAGUAGUCC